AGAGUUUGAUCCUGGCUCAGGACGAACGCUGGCGGCGUGCCUAAUACAUGCAAGUCGAGCGCAGGAAGCCGUCUGAACCCUUCGGGGGGACGACGGUGGAAUGAGCGGCGGACGGGUGAGUAACACGUAAAGAACCUGCCCAUAGGUCUGGGAUAACCACGGGAAAUCGGGGCUAAUACCGGAUGUGUCAUCGGACCGCAUGGUCCGCUGAUGAAAGGCGCUCCGGCGUCGCCCAUGGAUGGCUUUGCGGUGCAUUAGCUAGUUGGUGGGGUAACGGCCCACCAAGGCGACGAUGCAUAGCCGACCUGAGAGGGUGAUCGGCCACACUGGGACUGAGACACGGCCCAGACUCCUACGGGAGGCAGCAGUAGGGAAUCUUCCACAAUGGACGAAAGUCUGAUGGAGCAACGCCGCGUGAACGAUGAAGGCUUUCGGGUCGUAAAGUUCUGUUGUAAGGGAAGAACAAGUGCCGCAGGCAAUGGCGGCACCUUGACGGUACCUUGCGAGAAAGCCACGGCUAACUACGUGCCAGCAGCCGCGGUAAUACGUAGGUGGCAAGCGUUGUCCGGAAUUAUUGGGCGUAAAGCGCGCGCAGGCGGCCUCUUAAGUCUGAUGUGAAGGCCCCCGGCUCAACCGGGGAGGGCCAUUGGAAACUGGGAGGCUUGAGUAUAGGAGAGAAGAGUGGAAUUCCUCGUGUAUCGGUGAAAUGCGUAGAGAUGUGUAGGAACACCAGUGGCUAAUGCA
This 744-nucleotide ribosomal RNA is filed under the name uncultured Bacillota bacterium. Its description in RNAcentral is "bacterial SSU rRNA". It matches the Rfam family "Bacterial small subunit ribosomal RNA", at positions 8 to 723 of the family's 1533-position model. The record is from RNAcentral. Lineage: Bacteria; Bacillati; Bacillota.